GUUAUCAUUCGACUUUGCCACGGCAGGAAUUGGAUCUGGAGAUUGUGCUGGGUUUGGACCUGUAGGAACUUUCCUUUUGAUUUCGUGAACGAAAUUGUAAUGUUUCGACCUUGCCACAAUUGGAAUUGGAUCUGGCGAUUGAGCUGGGUUUGGACCUGUAGGAACUUUUCUUUUGACUUCAUGGUCAAAUCUAUAACCGUUUGACCUAGCCAUUAUGGGAAUUGGAUCGGGAGAUUGUGCUGGGUUUGGACCUGUAGGAACCUUCCUUUUGAUUUCGUGAAUGAAGUUGAAAUGAUUCGACCUUGCCACAAUUGGAAUUGGAUCUGGCGAUUGAGCUGGGUUUGGACCUGUAGGAACUUUCCUUUUGAUUUCAAGGUCAAAUUUAUAACCGUUUGACUUAGCCAUUAUGGGAAUUGGAUCGGGAGAUUGUGCUGGGUUUGGACCUGUAGGAACUUUCCUUUUGAUUUCGUGAAUGAAACUGUUAUCAUUCGACUUUGCCACGGCAGGAAUUGGAUCUGGAGAUUGUGCUGGGUUUGGACCUGUAGGAACUUUCCUUUUGAUUUCGUGAACGAAAUUGUAAUGUUUCGACCUUGCCACAAUUGGAAUUGGAUCUGGCGAUUGAGCUGGGUUUGGACCUGUAGGUACUUUUCUUUUGACUUCAUGGUCAAAUGUAUAACCGUUUGACCUAGCCAUUAUGGGAAUUGGACCAGGAGAUUGUGCUGGGUUUGGACCUGUAGGAACCUUCCUUUUGAUUUCGUGAAUGAAGUUGAAAUAAUUCGACCUUGCCACAAUUGGAAUUGGAUCUGACGAUUGAGCUGGGUUUGGACCUGUAGGAACUUUCCUUUUGAUUUCGGGGUCAAAUUUAUAACCGUUUGACUUAGCCAUUAUGGGAAUUGGAUCGGGAGAUUGUGCUGGGUUUGGACCUGUAGGAACUUUCCUUUUGAUUUCGUGAAUGAAACUGUUAUCAUUCGACUUUGCCACGGCAGGAAUCGGAUCUGGAGAUUGUGCUGGGUUUGGACCUGUAGGAACUUUCCGUUUGAUUUCGUGAAUGAGACUGUAAUGAUUUGACCUUGCCACAAUUGGAAUUGGAUCUGGCGAUUGAGCUGGGUUAGGACCUGUUGGAACUUUCCUUUUGACUUCAUGGUCAAAUUUAUAACUGUUUGACUCAGCCAUUAUGGGAAUUGGAUCGGGAGAUUGUGCUGGGUUUGGACCUGUCGGAACUUUCCUUUUGAUUUCGGGGUCAAAUUUAUAACCGUUUGACUUAGCCAUUAUGGGACUUGGAUCGGGAGAUUGUGCUGGGUUUGGACCUGUCGGAACUUUCCUUUUGAUUUCGUGAAUGAAGUUGAAAUGAUUCGACCUUGCCACAAUUGGAAUUGGAUCUGGCGAUUGAGCUGGGUUAGGACCUGUUGGAACUUUCCUUUUGACUUCAUGGUCAAAUUUAUAACUGUUUGACCUAGCAAUUAUUGGAAUUGGAUCGGGAGAUUGUGCUGGGUUUGGACCUGUAGGAACUUUCCUUUUGAUUUCGUGAAUGAAGUUGAAAUGAUUCGACCUUGCCACAAUUGGAAUUGGAUCUGGCGAUUGAGCUGGGUUUGGACCUGUAGGAACUUUCCUUUUGAUUUCGUGAAUGAAGUUGAAAUGAUUCGACCUUGCCACAAUUGGAAUUGGAUCUGGCGAUUGAGCUGGGUUUGGACCUGUAGGAACUUUCCUUUUGAUUUCGUGAAUGAAGUUGAAAUGAUUCGACCUUGCCACAAUUGGAAUUGGAUCUGGCGAUUGAGCUGGGUUUGGACCUGUAGGAACUUUCCUUUUGAUUUCGUGAAUGAAAUUGUUAUCAUUCGACUUUGCCACGAUAGGAAUUGGAUUUGGAGGUUGUGCUGAGUUUGGACCUGUAGGAACUUUCCUUUUGAUUUCGUGAACGAAAUUGUAAUGUUUCGACCUUGCCACAAUUGGAAUUGGAUCUGGCGAUUGAGCUGGGUUUGGACAUGUAGGAACUUUUCUUUUGACUUCAUGGUCAAAUGUAUAACCGUUUGACCUAGCCAUUAUGGGAAUUAUAUCGGGAGAUUGUGCUGGGUUUGGACCUGUAGGAACCUUCCUUUUGAUUUCGUGAAUGAAGUUGAAAUGAUUCGACCUUGCCACAAUUGGAAUUGGAUCUGGCGAUUGAGCUGGGUUUGGACCUGUAGGAACUUUCCUUUUGAUUUCAGGGUCAAAUUUAUAACCGUUUGACUUAGCCAUUAUGGGAAUUGGAUCGGGAGAUUGUGCUGGGUUUGGACCUGUAGGAACUUUCCUUUUGAUUUCGUGAAUGAAAUUGUUAUCAUUCGACUUUGCCACGAUAGGAAUUGGAUUUGGAGGUUGUGCUGAGUUUGGACCUGUAGGAACUUUCCUUUUGAUUUCGUGAACGAAAUUGUAAUGUUUCGACCUUGCCACAAUUGGAAUUGGAUCUGGCGAUUGAGCUGGGUUUGGACAUGUAGGAACUUUUCUUUUGACUUCAUGGUCAAAUGUAUAACCGUUUGACCUAGCCAUUAUGGGAAUUAUAUCGGGAGAUUGUGCUGGGUUUGGACCUGUAGGAACCUCCCUUUUGAUUUCGUGAAUGAAGUUGCAAUGAUUCGACCUUGCCACAAUUGGAAUUGGAUCUGGCGAUUGAGCUGGGUUUGGACCUGUAGAAACUUUCCUUUUGAUUUCGGGGUCGAAUUUAUAACCGUUUGACUUAGCCAUUAUGGGAAUUGGAUCGAGAGAUUGUGCUGGGUUUGGACCUGUAGGAACUUUCCUUUUGGUUUCGAGAAUGGAACUGUUUACAUCCGACUUUGCCACGGCAGGAAUCGGAUCUGGAGAUUGUGCUGGGUUUGGACCUGUAGGAACUUUCCUUUUGAUUUCGUGAACGAAAUUGUAAUGUUUCGACCUUGCCAUUAUGGGAAUUGGAUCUGGCGAUUGAGCUGGGUUUGGACCUGUAGGAACUUUCCUUUUGAUUUCGUGUAUGAGAUUGUAAUGAUUCGACUUUGCCACGAUUGGAAUUGGAUCUAGUGAUUGAGCUGGGUUUGAACCUGUAGGAACUUUCCUUCUGACUUCAUGGUCAAAUUUAUAACUUUUUGACCUAGCCAUUAUGGGAAUUGUGUCGGGAGAUUGUGCUGGGUUUGGUCCCCUGGGAACUUUCCUUUUGAUAUCGUGAACGAAAUUGUAAUGUUUCGACCUUGCCACGAUUGGAAUUGGAUCUGGCGAUUGAGUUGGGUUUGGACCUGUAGGAACUUUUCUUUUGACUUCAUGGUCAAAUGUAUAACCGUUUGACCUAGCCAUUAUGGGAAUUGGAUCGGGAGAUUGUGCUGGGUUUGAACCUGUAGGAACUUUCCUUUUGAUUUCGUGAAUGAGAUUGUAAUGAUUUGACCUAGCGACGAUUGGAAUUGGAUCUGGAGAUUGAGUUGGGUUUGGACCUGUAGGAACUUUCCUUUUGACUUCAUGGUCAAAUAUAUAACCAUUUGACCUAGCCAUUAUGGGAAUUGGAUCAGGAGAUUGUUUUGGGUUUGGACCUGUAGGAACUUUCCUUUUGAUUUCGUGAAUGAGAUUGCAAUGACUCGACCUUGCGACGAUUGGAAUUGGAUCUAGCGAUUGAGCUGGGUUUGGACUUGUAGGAACUUUCCUUUUGACUUCAUGGUCAAAUUUAUAACUGUUUGACCUAGCCAUUAUGAGAAUUGGAUCGGGAGAUUGUGCUGGGUUUGGAUCUGUAGGAACUUUCCUUUUGAUUUCGUGUAUGAGAUUGUAAUGAUUCGACUUUGCCACGAUUGGAAUUGGAUCUGGCGAUUGAGUUGGGUUUGGACCUGUAGGAACUUUCCUUUUG
Molecule: long non-coding RNA, 3823 nt
Filed under: Cicer arietinum (chickpea)
Lineage: Eukaryota; Viridiplantae; Streptophyta; Magnoliopsida; Fabales; Fabaceae
Description: long non-coding RNA (CARI_LNC003676)
Source: RNAcentral